RNAcentral lists this ribosomal RNA (426 nucleotides) under uncultured bacterium. Its description in RNAcentral is "partial 16S ribosomal RNA". It matches the Rfam family "Bacterial small subunit ribosomal RNA", at positions 354 to 796 of the family's 1533-position model. The record is from RNAcentral.
GUGAGGAAUUUUCCGCAAUGGGCGAAAGCCUUACCGAACAAUGCCCCGUGAAGGAAGAAGGCAUAUGGGUUGUAAACUUCUUUUCUUAGAGAAGAAUAUUGACAGUAUCCGAGGAAUAAGCUUCGGCUAACUCUGUGCCAGCAGCCGCGGUAAGACAGAGGAUGCAAGCGUUAUUCGGAAUUAUUGGGCGUAAAGGGUCUGUAGGUGGCGUGAAAAGUCACCUGUCAAAGCUCCGGGCUUAACCCUGGACCGGCAGGAGAAACUGCGAGGCUAGAGUGUGGAAGGGGCAGAGGGAAUUCCCGGUGGAGCGGUGAAAUGCGUAGAGAUCGAGAGGAACACCAAAGGUGAAAGCACUCUGCUGGGCCACAACUGACGCUGAGAGACGAAAGCGAGGGGAGCAAAAGGGAUUAGAUACCCGGGUAGUCC